This 253-nucleotide ribosomal RNA is filed under the name uncultured bacterium. RNAcentral's name for it is "partial 16S ribosomal RNA". It matches the Rfam family "Bacterial small subunit ribosomal RNA", at positions 524 to 776 of the family's 1533-position model. The record is from RNAcentral.
UACGUAGGGGGCAAGCGUUGUCCGGAAUCAUUGGGCGUAAAGAGCGUGUAGGCGGCCCGGUAAGUCCACCGUGAAAGUCCAGGGCUCAACCCUGGAAUGCCGGUGGAAACUGCCGGGCUGGAGUCCGGAAGAGGCGAGUGGAAUUCCUGGUGUAGCGGUGAAAUGCGCAGAUAUCAGGAGGAACACCGGUGGCGAAGGCGGCAUCCUGGACCGGUAUUGACGCUGAGGCGCGAAAGCCAGGGGAGCAAACGGG